This is an RNA transcript of Chenopodium quinoa (quinoa), 1212 nucleotides long. It is a transcript of the gene named phosphatidylinositol N-acetylglucosaminyltransferase subunit P-like, with no coding region annotated. The record is from RefSeq and is a predicted model, not a curated record. The transcript has 6 exons. NCBI's taxonomy places the organism in Eukaryota, Viridiplantae, Streptophyta, Magnoliopsida, Caryophyllales, Amaranthaceae.
CUGAUUUUUUGAAAAAAAUUAAAAACUUUUUUUUAAAAAAAAAGUAAAAAAAUAGAAAUAAGUUUAAAUAGAAUAUUUGUGUAAUAUAUGACAAAGAGUAAAGUUGUAGCCCAGUGGUUAUUUUUACCUCCCAUCACUCAGACUUAUUUUUUUUUUUAAUUUUGUUUACUGACUUGUUGUUUCCUCAAAAGUUACGGUUUACCCAAUUACCCAGCUUCCCUGAAUUCCUCUUCCUCAUUCCCCCAAAUUGCAAAACCUGAAAACCCUAACUUCUUCCUCCUUGGCAGAGCCCCCAACGUCAGCCGCAACCGGAGCUUCACAUCCUCGCAUCGUCUACAUACGUUAGUGAAUUCAGCUGUAUUUGAUGGUCUGAUAGGUGGUGUACCAAAGAACAAUAUGGAGGACCCUCCUCCUGUUAAUAGCCCAAGAAGAGUUCUCAGCCUGUCAAGGAAAAGGAAAGGUGCUGGCUCUUUCUUAAAUGUUGAUAAUAAAGCUUCUGGAUUGGGUGUAUCUGGUCAACAUGGUCCAAAACCAGCUGAAGUAUAUGGCUUUGUGGGUUCUAUAACAACUAUGGUUGCAACAGCUAUAUUCUUCAUAUGGGCAUAUGCUCCUGAGCAUUGGUUGCAUUCUAUUGGGAUAUUCUACUAUCCUAACAGGUACUGGGCUGUAGCUGUACCAACAUAUUGCAUGGUCAUUAUAGUCUUAGGACUGGCAUUUUAUAUAGGCCUCAACUUUAUGGCAACUCCUUCCCCAACUUCCUUGAAUGUGAUUUAUGAUGAACACAGCAGAGACCCACAAAAUUUCACGACUGUUGAAGAUGAUCAGCCUAUUGAAUCUAUCUCGGAUAUUGACAUCAACCAAAUAAAUGAGCUUAUGUUUAGAGAUUUGAAAUGACAAUUGUAUAUGUUGACAUCAGUGGACUAAGUCGUCUCAUGUAGAUAAUAUCUGGGUAAGUGGUUUUGCUGAUAGCCCAUUGCAUUGCUUGGCUGAUUGGUGUAUUAUUUGUGUGAACAUGAAGGUAGGCUGUGCUAAUUUGUUGAAGGCCAACUCUCAAUAACAUUGAGUGAUCAUGAACAUGUACAGAAGGCCUUGAAUAAUUCCUUCAAUGACGUGAGCACGAAUUCCCCAAUCGAGCUGUAAACUUUUCACAGGAUCUGUAACAAUGUAAAAGACACACAAAGGAAACUAUAAGCUGGCAGUUGAUUAUGGCUA